GACGAGGAGCUUGCUCCUUUGACGUUAGCGGCGGACGGGUGAGUAACACGUGGGUAACCUACCUAUAAGACUGGAAUAACUCCGGGAAACCGGGGCUAAUGCCGGAUAACAUAUCGAACCGCAUGGUUCGAUAGUGAAAGACGGUCUUGCUGUCACUUAUAGAUGGACCCGCGCCGUAUUAGCUAGUUGGUGAGGUAACGGCUCACCAAGGCAACGAUACGUAGCCGACCUGAGAGGGUGAUCGGCCACACUGGAACUGAGACACGGUCCAGACUCCUACGGGAGGCAGCAGUAGGGAAUCUUCCGCAAUGGGCGAAAGCCUGACGGAGCAACGCCGCGUGAGUGAUGAAGGUCUUCGGAUCGUAAAGCUCUGUUGUUAGGGAAGAACAAAUGUGUAAGUAACUGUGCACAUCUUGACGGUACCUAACCAGAAAGCCACGGCUAACUACGUGCCAGCAGCCGCGGUAAUACGUAGGUGGCAAGCGUUAUCCGGAAUUAUUGGGCGUAAAGCGCGCGUAGGCGGUUUUUUAAGUCUGAUGUGAAAGCCCACGGCUCAACCGUGGAGGGUCAUUGGAAACUGGAAAACUUGAGUGCAGAAGAGGAAAGUGGAAUUCCAUGUGUAGCGGUGAAAUGCGCAGAGAUAUGGAGGAACACCAGUGGCGAAGGCGGCUUUCUGGUCUGUAACUGACGCUGAUGUGCGAAAGCGUGGGGAUCAAACAGGAUUAGAUACCCUGGUAGUCCACGCCGUAAACGAUGAGUGCUAAGUGUUAGGGGGUUUCCGCCCCUUAGUGCUGCAGCUAACGCAUUAAGCACUCCGCCUGGGGAGUACGGUCGCAAGACUGAAACUCAAAGGAAUUGACGGGGACCCGCACAAGCGGUGGAGCAUGUGGUUUAAUUCGAAGCAACGCGAAGAACCUUACCAAAUCUUGACAUCUUUUGACCACUCUAGAGAUAGAGUUUUCCUCUUCGGAGGACAAAAUGACAGGUGGUGCAUGGUUGUCGUCAGCUCGUGUCGUGAGA
RNAcentral lists this ribosomal RNA (1020 nucleotides) under Staphylococcus chromogenes. RNAcentral's name for it is "bacterial SSU rRNA". It matches the Rfam family "Bacterial small subunit ribosomal RNA", at positions 69 to 1072 of the family's 1533-position model. The record is from RNAcentral. Lineage: Bacteria; Bacillati; Bacillota; Bacilli; Caryophanales; Staphylococcaceae.